This 772-nucleotide long non-coding RNA is filed under the name Androctonus crassicauda. The record is from RNAcentral. Lineage: Eukaryota; Metazoa; Arthropoda; Arachnida; Scorpiones; Buthidae.
CAUUUGGCUACUCCAGUUAAUAUCUUUCUGCACUGCAGAGCUUUGCAGAAAAUUUUAAUAAAGAAGAAAAUACAAAAAAUUACAAUGAAGAUUACAUUACAGAAAACCAGCAGAACAAAGAAAAAGAAGUGGUAAAACAUGUGAUCCAAAACAAUAAGCAAGAACCAAAUGACAAUAAAUUACAACUUGAAUUUAUGGCAAUGGUCACAACAAUUUUCUUGAGUUCAGAAUGGUGCUCCUUACAAUUGGGCCAGUUGAGAUUAAGAUAAUUACAAAGAAGUUUUAGAUUAAGUGUCUCAUUUUCAAAUUUAAUACAAUUAAAGAGAAUAUGGUCUGUGUUUUCUACUUCAUUACAUUCGUCACAAAACUCAGAGUCAGCAUGACCAAACCUUGCGAGAUAGCAGUUCAGAGAGCAAUGUCUGGAAAGGAACUGUGCAAACCAAGCACUGAAACCGUGCAACAAGAUAGGAAUGAUAUUGCCAUUAUAAAUGUCCCUGAGGGUCUCAGCAAAGACACCCAGCUCCUCCUGGCAAACUUAGCCACACUGUGGAAUAGUGUAAUAGCCUUAUGUCUUAAUCGAUAAUAGGCUGUGGCAUCCAAAGCCUAUUAUCGAUUAUUAUGCCCAAAUAUUUCAAUUUAUCAACUACUCGAACAAUAUUACCAUUGAUUUUAACAAUCGGAGGCUUCUCCAUGGAACAAACGCAGGGAAAAAAACAAUAGCCUCACUCUUUAAAAAAAAUAAAUUUUUUUUUUUUUUUUUGGUUGGAGAAAU